AUUGAACGCUGGCGGCAGGCCUAACACAUGCAAGUCGAACGAGUGGCGGACGGGUGAGUAAUGUCUGGGAAACUGCCUGAUGGAGGGGGAUAACUACUGGAAACGGUAGCUAAUACCGCAUACCAUCGGAUGUGCCCAGAUGGGAUUAGCUAGUAGGUGGGGUAAAGGCUCACCUAGGCGACGAUCCCUAGCUGGUCUGAGAGGAUGACCAGCCACAAUGGGACUGAGGAACGGUCCAUACUCCUACGGGAGGCAGCAGUGGGGAAUUUUUGCCAAUUGGGGCAAGCCUGAUGCAGCCAAGCCGGGGGUAUGAAGAAGGCCUUCGGGUUGUAAAGUUCUUUUAGCGGGGAGGCGUUACCCGCAGAAAAAGCAACGGCUAACUCCGUGCCAGCAGCCGCGGUAAUAC
RNAcentral lists this ribosomal RNA (406 nucleotides) under uncultured bacterium. RNAcentral describes it as "partial 16S ribosomal RNA". It matches the Rfam family "Bacterial small subunit ribosomal RNA", at positions 30 to 526 of the family's 1533-position model. The record is from RNAcentral.